AACCCUGAUGGCGAGCGGCGAACGGGUGAGUAAUAUAUCGAGACGUACCUAAUAGAGGGGGAUAACUCAUCGAAAGAUGAGCUAAUACCGCAUAAUCUCUGAGGAGGAAAGGUGGGGACCAGCAAUGGCCUGCCGUUGUUAGAGCGAUCGAUACCCCGAUUAGCUAGUUGGUGAGGUAAAGGCUCACCAAGGCGAUGAUCGGUAGCUGUUCUGAGAGGAAGAUCAGCCACACUGGGACUGAGACACGGCCCAGACUCC
Molecule: ribosomal RNA, 258 nt
Filed under: uncultured bacterium
Lineage: Bacteria
Description: partial 16S ribosomal RNA
Rfam family: Bacterial small subunit ribosomal RNA
Source: RNAcentral